AGAGUUUGAUCCUGGCUCAGAUUAAACGCUGGCGGCAUGCCUUACACAUGCAAGUCGAACGGCAGCACGGGGGCAACCCUGGUGGCGAGUGGCGGACGGGUGAGUAAAGCAUCGGAACGUAUCCUGGAGUGGGGGAUAACGUAGCGAAAGUUACGCUAAUACCGCAUAUUCUGUGAGCAGGAAAGCAGGGGAUCGCAAGACCUUGCGCUCUGGGAGCGGCCGAUGUCGGAUUAGCUAGUUGGUGGGGUAAAGGCCUACCAAGGCGACGAUCCGUAGCGGGUCUGAGAGGAUGAUCCGCCACACUGGGACUGAGACACGGCCCAGACUCCUACGGGAGGCAGCAGUGGGGAAUUUUGGACAAUGGGGGCAACCCUGAUCCAGCCAUGCCGCGUGAGUGAAGAAGGCCUUCGGGUUGUAAAGCUCUUUUGGUCGGGAAGAAAGUGCCCUGCUUAAUACGCGGGGUAUUUGACGGUACCGGCAGAAUAAGCACCGGCUAACUACGUG
This 504-nucleotide ribosomal RNA is filed under the name uncultured bacterium. Its description in RNAcentral is "bacterial SSU rRNA". It matches the Rfam family "Bacterial small subunit ribosomal RNA", at positions 8 to 507 of the family's 1533-position model. The record is from RNAcentral.